This 9982-nucleotide transfer RNA is filed under the name Salmo salar (Atlantic salmon). RNAcentral's name for it is "lncRNA (ENSSSAG00000105471.1)". The stretch from base 5046 to 5099 matches the Rfam family "UnaL2 LINE 3' element". The record is from RNAcentral. Lineage: Eukaryota; Metazoa; Chordata; Actinopteri; Salmoniformes; Salmonidae.
GUAACAACAAGGGCAGGGUAGAGUGACACACACACACACAUAUAUGUAAGCAAGCGCACGCACGCACACACGCACGCACGCACGCACGCACACACACACACACACACACACACACACACACACACACACACACACACAGAAAGCGUUAGCAGGGUUUGAGUGGCAGCUGAAGUUAGGGUUGAAUAAACAGUAGUCCUGAUAACCCCAGGAUUGACAAGGCCACCCCGAUUGUCUUAUCUCGUAACCAUAGACCGGGACUCUGGCCAAGGGCCAAUAGAAACAGGGAAGACAAGCUUGUGGCCCAAUCAGUGAAGAGAAAACAUCCUGUGAACGAUACAGAAAAAGAAGGGGAACCUAUCGGGGGCAGGGGUAGGAGGCAUAUGAGGUAAGGGAGGGUGCUGGAGGUACUGUCUGUCUGUCACAGUCUGCGUGUGCGCGUCUGUGCUUGCGUGAAUGUGUUAUUCAGAUGCGAUAUGUUGUGUAUAUAUGAUAGAGGGAACGUGUUCACUCUCAGACACCUCUGACACCGCUUGUUAUUGAGGUCGUGGAUGGCCGGGAGCUCGGCCCCAUGAUGUACUGGGCUGUCCGCACCACCCUUUGUAGAGAUUUGCGGUCAAGGGAGGUGCAUUUGCCAUACCAAGCGAUGAUGCAGAAAGUCAAGAUGCUCUCGGUGGUGCAGCUGUAGAACUUAUUGAGGAUCCGAUGGCCCAUGCCAAAUCUUUUCAGCCUCCUGAGAGGGAAAAGGUGCUGCUGUGCCCUCUGCAUGACUGUAUGGGUGCGUGUGGACCAUGUUGAGUCCUUAGUGAUGUGGAAGCCAAAGAACUGCUCUCCCAUCUUUUUUCUAUAGUCCACGAUCACCUCCUUGGUCUUACUGGCAUUAAGGGAGAGGUUGUUGUCCUGGCACCACACUGCUAAGUCUCUGACCUGCUCCCUGUAGGCUGACUCAUUGCCGUCGGUGAUCAGGCCUACCACUGUCGUGUCUUCAGCAAACUUGAUGAUGGUGUUGGUGCAGUGGAGUGGUUCUAGAGUGUCUGGGAUAAUGGUGUUGAUGUGUGUCAUGACAAGCCUUACAAAGCACUUCAUAAUUACAGAUGUGAGUGCUACAGGGCGAUAGUCAUUAUUAAGGCAGGUUACCUUGGAGCUCUUGGGAACAGGGACAAUGGUGGUCAGCUUGAAACAUGUUGGGAUUACUGACUGGGACAAGAAGAGAUUGAAAAUGUCUGUGAAGACACUUGUCAGCAGGUCUGCGCAAGAUUUGAGAAUGAGGGAGGGCUUUGUAUGCAUUUCUGUGUGUAGAAUAAUAGAUUUGACAAUGAGGGAGGGCUUUGUAUGUGUUUCUGUGUGUAGAAUAAUAGUGGUCUAGAGUUUUAGGGCCCUAGUGGGGCAGGAGACGUGUUGGUAGAAGUGAGGUAGGAUGGUUUUAAGUCUCCCAGCAUUAGAAAGUCUCCACCAACUCUCUUGGUAGAUAAAAGGGUCUGCAGCUUACCAUGAGGUAUUCUAUAUCAGGUGAGCAAAAGCUUGAGAUUUCUUUCACACUUGAAGCAUCAGACAAGUUGCUAUUUAUCAAAAAACUAAACUUACCCGAAGCCGUCGUCUGAUCCUGCUGCUGCAUGGAGGAACCACUGAGUACUACAUGCAUAGCGUCAUCAUCCAGACACGUGUCAAUAAGACAAAAUAUUACAGCUUUUUCGGUUUUCUCUUCGCCUCAAUUUCACCAGGACUCCACCUCGUCUCACACGUCUACGCCUGCGGCGUUUUGGUAUCCCAUGGAACAAAGGAAUAGGGCCCAUAUGAACAGUGGAACAGCUGAGUUGGAGUUGAAGUCGUAUUUGAUGUUGAAAUCGAGGGCUUCCAUUCCAUCAAUACCCUGGCUAAGUCUUGCUGAUGUUUCUACUACCUCCACCAACACCACCUCCUCAGAUGGCCUGUUCAAACACUGAUUAGCAGCAGAGGUAUAGCCUACCUCAAGCUGGUCCCCCUCCGACUCAGAGCACAGAGAAUCAGACUGAUCCGAACUCACUGGCUCUGGUGGAUGGGAUACCUCCUGGGGGGUUUGGACAGUCAGUGGUCCUAAAGUCAUUUGGAGAGGUAAAUUGAAGAGUUCCAUUUUUAUAAGCUCAGCUUAACUACCAUUUCUUGUUUUCUCAAAUGUCAACCAAAGCUUAACAUACUUUGUCUAUUGGGCUUCACCGAAGUGUAGGGUGUCAGGGCGUUUGUCACGUCCUGACCAUAGAAAGCUGUUAUUUUCUAUGGUAGACUGGGUCAGGGUGUGACAGGGGGGGUUUUCUAGUUUAGUUUUUCUAUGUUGUCAUGUUCUAGUUUUGUAUUUCUAUGUUGGUUUUGUUUGGGAUGAUCUCCAAUUAGAUGCAGCUGGUCCUCGUUGUCUCUAAUUGGAGAUCAUACUUAAGUAGGUGUUUUUUCUACCUGGGUUUGUGGGAGAUUGUCUUUGAGUAGUGUAUGUUUCACCUCUGCGUCACGGUUUGUUGUUUUGUUCUUUAGUUUAUGUAUUGCAUAGUUUCACAGUGUAAAUAAAAUGUGGAAUGACACACACGCUGCACUUCGGUCCGCUUCUCCUUACGACAACCUUGACAGUGUUCAGUGGUUGACCGUCCAAUUGCUCCAACUGAAGAAGAUUAUUGGCUUCCACCAUUUUAGUGAAACUAAAACUAGCUUCAGGUUAAUUUGUGUGCAAAUGCAAAUAGUUACAGUUCAUUCAGAACGUAUUCAGACCCCUUAACUUUUUCCACAUUUUGUUACGUUACAGCCUUAUUCUAAAUCUUAUUCUUUUUUUUCCUCAUCAAUCUACACACAAUACCCAAUAAUGACAAAGUGAAAACCGUUUUUUUUUUUUACAUUUUUGACUGCUCUAAGUAUUCAGACCCUUUGAAAUUGAGCUUGGGCGCAUCCUGUUUCAUUGAUCUUCCUUGAGAUGUUUCUACAACUUGAUUGGAGUCCAUCUGUGGUAAAUUAAAUUGAUUGGACAUGAUUCAGAAAUGCACACACCUGUCUACAUAAGGUCCCACAGUUGACAGUGUAUGUCAGAGCAAAAACCAAGCCAUGAGGUCGAGGAAUUGUCCAUAGAGCUCUGAGACAGGAUUGUGAUCAGGCACAGAUCUGUGGAAAAGGUACCAAAAAAUGAAGGUCCCCAAGAUCCCAGUGACCUUCAUCAGUCUUAAAUGAAAGAUGUUUGGAACCACCAAGACUCUUCCUAGAGCUGGCCGCCCGGCCAAAUCGGGGGAGAAGGGCCUUGGUCAGGGAGGUGACCAAGAACCCAAUAGUCACUCUGACAGAGCUCCAGAGUUCCUCUGUGGAGAUGGGAGAACCUUCCAGAAGGACAACCAUCUCUGCAGCACUCCACCAAUCAGGCCUUUAUGGUAGAGUGGCCAGAUGGAAGCCACUCCUCAGUAAAAGGCACAUGACAGCCUGCUUGGAGUUUGCCAAAAACACCUAAAGGACUCUCAGACCAUAAGAGACAAGAUUCUCUGGUCUGGUGAAACCAAGAUUGAACUCUUUGGCCUGAAUGGCAAGCGUCACGUCUGGAGGAAACCUGGCAACAUCCCUACGGUGAAGCAUGGUGGUGGCAGCAUCAUGCUGUGGGGAUGUUUUUCAGCGGCGGGGACUGGGAGACUAUUCAGGAUCAAGGGAAAGAUGAACGGAGCAAAGUACAGAAAGAUCCUUGAUGAAAAACUGCUCCAGAAGGUUCAGCUUCCAAUAGGGCAAUGACCCCAGCACACAGCCAAGACAAUGUAGGAGUGGCUUCGGGACAAGUCUCUGAAUGUCCUUGAGUGGCCCAGCCAGAGCCCGGACUUGAACCCGAACAAACAUCUCUGGAGAAACCUGAAAAUAGCUGUGCAGCGACGCUCCCCAUCCAACCAGACAGAGCUUGAGAGGAUCUGCAGAGAAAAAUGGCAGAAACUCCAUCAAAUACAGGUGUGCCAAGCUUGUAACGUCAUAUCCAAGAAGACUCAAGGCUGAAAUCGCUGCCAAAGAUGCUUCAACAAAGUACUGGGGGAAUAAUUUCUACAAACCUGUUUUUGUUUCAUCAUUAUGGGGUAUUGUGUGUAGAUUGAUGAGGAAAAAGAAUCUGGAAAAAGUGAAAGGGUCUGAAUACUUUCCAAAUGCAAGUAAUUUGGCCAGAUGUCGUAGCACUUGGUCCCCGUCUUGAUUCUGCUCCGGUAGUUCUCCUUCUGUUUCUCCUGCGCCUUGUCCAUGUUCAGUAUCACCUUGAUUGAUAACAAGAAUAAAGGCAAUUAUAUUUCGUAUUACAAAUACAUUUCUUACAUAUCUCUUGGAGGGCCAGAAAAUAAAUUAACAGCAGACAAUCAUUUUUACCUGGUCAAAAACCUCCACAUCCGUGCCUGGAGGUGGUCCUCGAAGACGUUCUGAUCAGGUUCCACAACUUCCACCACAUCAGGUGGGGUUUCAGUGAUCUGAAAGUACAUUAUACAAAAAUAGCAAAAGACAAAACAACAACACUAAGUCAAUCACAAAUAUGAAAGACUACAGUAUAUGCAAUAAUUGUAUAAACAAUUGCAUUGUUUACCUCAGUCAACAGGUGCGGCUCCCGUCCGUACUCGGUGGAGGUCUGGACGCUGCUGUUGUGUGGAAAGAUAAUUACCUUCAGGUUGUUCUCCCACCAUUCCUGGUUACCAUCAAGGGACUUGCCCAUGGCAGUCUUGAGGGUCUGGUUGGUCCAUUCACCAAACCUGGAGGAGGGGGUAGGAAAGCCAUAUCUAUUGACACUCUAAGAUAUUGAAAUAUGUCUGAUUAUGUACCAUGUAAAAACGUUUUUUUUUUUUUUAUAAAUAAAUAAAACAAAUGAUAGGUGACAUAAUAUAACCUAUAACAUCCGUACCUUGUUCCAGUGUUCAUGACCUCGGUCACUCAAGAUGACCUCAAGAGAACUGUGGGUGUUGCCUUCCCUGUGGCUCAGUUGGUAGAGCAUGGUGUUUGCAACGCCAGCAUGGUGUGUGCAAUGCCAGGGUUGUGGGUUCGAUUCCCAUGGGGGGGCCAGUACAAAAAACAAAUGCAUGAAAUGGAAUGUAUGCAUUCACUACUGUAAGUUGCUCUGGAUAAGAGCGUCUGCUAAAUGACUAAAAUGUAAAAAUGAAGAUGACCAUCAUCACCUUGGAGGUGACCUUGCCAGUUUAGUCCUUGAUGGGUAUCAUACAAAACAAAAAUGAUGUUGGGGUUCCAAGCACCCUUUUUAAAUGGGUUACAGAAGGGAAUUUAGAGUUAAGCACAUUCUCUUCCUUUGCUGACCUUAAUGGGUAUUGCCUCCACUCACUUGGUAAAAUGAUUGGUCGCUGUCAGACACCAGCUUUUGCCAUUCCUGGAUUUUGUGAAGGGUCCGAUGAGGUCCAACCCUAACAUUUAAAGUGUUAGAGAGAAUAUUAUUUUAUUCUUACCCGUAUCUGUGUCAUACAGUGUGCAAAUGUUCAUAUUUGUAAGGAUACUGACACACACACACACACAAAACACAUAUUCUAUAAUAUUGAACUCUGCUGUAGUCAAAUAAAGCAACCAUUACAAAACAAAUGAUCAGGGAACAUUUUUAAUUGGGACACUUACCGAUCAUGUGACAUGGGGAAACAACUUUGAUGGGAUUCAACUCCGGCGCCACAGUCUUCACCUUCUCAAACUUCUGGCAGGCUAGACAGGGUACUGAGCUUUAAACUUCUUCGGGAUCAGUGUCCCAUCCACGGGACGGUUGAGCUAACGUAGGCUAAUGUGAUUAGCAUGAGGUUGUAAGUAACAAGAACAUUUCCCAGGUCAUAGACAUAUCUGAUAUUGGCAGAAAGCUUCAAUUCUUGUUAAUCUAACUGCACUGUCCAAUUUACAUGAGCUAUUACAGUGAAAUAAUACCAUGCUAUUGUUUGAGGAGAGUGCACAAUUUUGAACAUAAAAAGUUAUUAAUAAACAAAUUAGGCACAUUUGGGUGGUCUUGACACAACAUUUUGAACAGAAAUGCAAUGGUUCACUGAAUCAGCCUAAAACUUUGCACAUACCCUGACACCAUCUAGUGGCCAAAAUCUAAAUUGCACCUGGGCUGGAAUAAUACAUUAUGGCCUUUCUCUUGCAUUUUAAAGAUAAUGGUACAAAAAAAGUACAAAAGAAUGGUUGGUUUUUCUUUGUAUUAUCUUUUAGCAGAUCUAUUGUGUUAUAUUAUCCUACAUUCCUUUCACAUUUCCACAAACUUCAAAGUGUUUCCUUUCAAAUGGUACCAAUAAUAUUAAUAUCCUUGCUUCAGGGCCUGAGCUACAGGCAGUUAGAUUUGGGUAUGUCAUUUUAAGCAAAAAGUGACAAAUUAAAACUUUGGUUGUUCUCUGAUAUGACAUUCAUUGAAAUCAUAAUAGUUUCAGAAAUAAUAGAAUGUGAUUGAUAAACAAAAGACUCUCUCACUUGCCCAGCUGUCCACCUCCUUGACAUUUCCCCAUCAGAAGAUGCGUAGGUUGAUUUUGGCAAAGCUGCGCUUUACUCCGAAAUGGCCAGCAUGCAUCUCGGUCAGCACGGCCUCCUUCUCCUCCUUAGUAAAAAUCACCCUCCUGUGUGGCUGCCAAUCCUUCCCCCGUAGGUACAUGCGAUUGCCUAACAAGUUGGAAGAGACGAGUACAUUUGCACUGCUGUCUUUCUUUCUCUGUUUCUCGCUUUCCAUCUCUCUCUGUCUUCCACUCUUCCCACAUCUCUUUCUCCCUCUCUCACUUCAUCCUUUCUUUCUUACAUUCUUCCUCUCUCUCCACCCCCCUCUCUCUCUCUGUGCUUGUCUAGCAAAGUUACCUAGUUAAGGGCAUUUGGAAUUACCAUAAUUGCUUACACCUAUCCAUUUGAUUGAUCAGGUUUAACUUAUAGCUAGAUACCUCAAUAUGACAGACAUAUACGUAUAUCAGUGGAGGCUGCUGAGGGAGCAUGGCUCAUAAUAAUAGCUGGAAUGGAGUCAAUGGAUGUCACGCAUCCCACUCCCGCUCCCCCUCCCUGGCGCUCGAGGGCGCCAGGCUGCCCAUCAUUACGCACACCUGUCACCAUCGUUACGCGCAUCAGCACUUCAUUGGACUCACCUGGAUUCCUUCACGUUUUAUUGCCUCCCCUAUAUCUGUCUAUUCCUCAGUUUGAUAUCGUGUCAGCAUUGAUGUUGUUUCGUUUCCCUUGUCCAGAUGCUGUCCUCGUUUUGUUUCAUGUCUGUUAUUCAUUAAAUGUUCACUCCCUGUACAAUGGAAUGGUAUCAACCACGGGUUUGAUAACAUUCCAUUGACUCCAUUACAGACAUUAUUAUGAGCCAUCCUCCCCUCAGCAGCCUCCACUGAACUAUAUGUAUAGCUAGCAACAUGUAGAUGACCAACUAGCUAGAUGGAAAAUGGGUGUUGAAAAAUGGUUGUACAUAACUAAAUCCAUCCAGUUAUCUAAUAGAAGUUAACUGCUUAACGUUACCCUGAAUUGUGAAUUUCUCUUAAUGUUGCGCCUCUUGUCGAGAUCAGUGGUGCCUUCAUAGUACUUUGCCUGGUUGGAAAGAUGAAAGAAAGUCUCCUUGAGGGAUGCCAUUGAAGUGCAAGCUACAGACAAACAGAAAGCUACAAUUGCAAUUACAGUAGCUAGCUAGCUAGCUAGCUAGCGUUAGCUAAAUAAAAUGUCUGGCUAGCUGACUAGGCAGGCUGAGGUAAAUAAGUAUAGUAGCUAGCAACGUAAAUUUAAAAACAGCUUAAAUGAUUUCUUCCUAUUUAACAAUAUGUUCUUAUAUAACGACAAAUAUAUGGUAAAGAAAGAGGGUUCUCUUUCCAGCCUUUUCGGGCCUCUGAAGCAGUAGGUAGUCACCAUCAAAAACAGUCCUUGGAGAGAAAUUCAGAGGUAAUAAUUUUGUGUAGACUGUGCUUUGGCAAAGUGGGUGGGGUUAUAUCCUACCCGUUUGGCCCUGUCCGGGGGUUUCAUCGGAUGGGGCCACAGUGUCUCCUGACCCCUCCUGUCUCAGCCUCCAGUAUUUAUGCUGCAGUAGUUUAUGUGUCGGGGGGGCUAGGGUCAGUCUGUCACAUCUGGAGUAUUUCUCGUCUUUUCCGGUGUCCUAUGUGAAUUUAAAUAUGCUCUCUCUAAUUCUCUCUCUCGGAGGACCUGAGCCCUAGGACCAUGCCUCAGCACUAGCUGGCUUGAUGACUUCUUGCUGUCCCCAGUUCACCUGGCCGUGCUGCUGCUCCAGUUCCAACUGUUCUGCCUGCAGCUAUGGAACCCUGACCUGUUCACCGGACGUGCUACCUGUCCCAGACCUGUUGUCCCAGACCUGCUGGAACCCUGACCUAUUCACUGGACGUGCUACCUGUCCCAGACCUGCUGUUUUCAACUCUCUAGAGACAGCAGGAGCGGUAGAGAUACUCUCAAAGAUCGGCUAUGAAAAAGCCAACUGACACUUACUCUUGUGUUACUGACUUGUUGCACCCUCGACAACUACUAUGAUUAUUAUUAUUUGACAAUGCUGGUCAUUUAUGAACAUUUGAACAUCUAGGCCAUGUGCUGUUAUAAUCUCCACCCGGCACAGCCAGAAGAGGACUGGCCACCCCUCAUAGCCUGGUUCCUCUCUAGGUUUCUUCCUAGGUUUUGGCCUUUCUAGGGAGUUUUUCCUAGCCACCGUGCUUCUACACCUGCAUUGCUUGCUGUUUGGGGUUUUAGGCUGGGUUUCUGUACAGCACUUUGUGAUAUCAGCUGAUGUAAGAAGGGCUAUAUAAAUAAAUUUGAUUUGAUUUGAUUUGGACUGAGCAAGCUCUUAUUAGGUGAAAAGAUAGAACUGCCCGCGUCCUCAGUCCUUCGCUACCGUUACCAGGUAAAAUAGAGCCAAGCAACCAGCAUAGCAACGGACGCUUUGGUUCAUUACGUAACCCAGUCAUAAUUUUGGAAGUUCUAGCAACAGCCCUAGCAACGGAAGCUAGAACUCAUUGAAUCCCAUUGUGACACAGGGGGGACACUAUCUGGCAUGACAGGACCUUAUUGAUUAUGUUAGUCACUGUCACUCAGAUAUCAUUAAUGUGGCAUAAGUCAUGACAAAAUGUAUAGAAUUGCAGGAAAUUAGCUUAAAUUUAAAACAAAAAAAUGCUCUGCCCCAUGGCAAAUUUAGUAAAAUUGCAUGAAAUUUGUUAUACAUUUAUUAAAAUAUUUUCUCUACGUGUAGAAUUGCAGGAAAUAAAUGUUAAAACCUUUUUCUCUCCGCUAUCAAGAUGGGGGCCACAAAAAAAAUUGACCUCUUGGUGGGGGGUUCGCCAACCAAAUCUCACUUAGGGCCCCCAAGCAAUGAAAAUGUGGCCUUAAGCAAGGAAUAAAUUCUUACACUGCUAGCUGGGUAAGGCUCUGAAGCUUACCUGGUGCUCCCAGAUUGUUGCAUGAAUAGUAUGUCAGCGGAUUUGGUACUGUGACAGAGAAAUAUGAAUUUCCUGUCACGGUUGUCGUAGGGUAGAGACCAAGACGCAGCGGGAAAAUAUAUACUUAUCUUCUUUUUAUUUAGGUGAAGACGGAAAAACACGUAUACAAAACAAAACGAACUUGACAGUCUUGUCAGGCAAACAGCUAAACAAGAACAAUCUCCCACAAAAUCCCAUGAAAAACAAACUCCUAAUUAUAGGACCCUCAAUCAGAGGCAACAAUAACCAGCUGCCUCCAAUUGAAGGUCCAACCCCAAUUAACUAAACAUAGAAAUACAAAAAACUAGAUAGAACAUACAAAAAUACUAACAUAGAACAUAGACUAACAAACCCCGGACCACAUAAACCAAACACCCCUCUGUUACGUUCCCCAGUUUCUGUUGUAGUUUGUAUAUUUGUAAGUGUGUUUCAGGUAAUGGCUUCCUGAAGUUCUCCAAGCAGCUGAUUGGUCGGCCCCAUUGCUGAUUGGAGAGCUGACCCCGCCCCCUCGCCAGGACGCAGCUGUCUCAAUUAACAACCCCAAUAUAAGCCAGUGUGCUGUUGCUCAGGGAAGGAGAGACAGAGAUUUUUGCUGAGAGAGGAGGUUGAUG